This 186-nucleotide ribosomal RNA is filed under the name uncultured bacterium. RNAcentral's name for it is "partial 16S ribosomal RNA". It matches the Rfam family "Bacterial small subunit ribosomal RNA", at positions 1315 to 1500 of the family's 1533-position model. The record is from RNAcentral.
ACUACAUGAAGCUGGAAUCGCUAGUAAUCGCGAAUCAGAAUGUCGCGGUGAAUACGUUCCCGGGUCUUGUACACACCGCCCGUCACACCAUGGGAGUCGGAUAUGCCCGAAGCCGGUGACCUAACCGCAAGGAAGGAGCCGUCGAAGGUGGAGCCGAUGACUGGGGUGAAGUCGUAACAAGGUAUC